This 344-nucleotide long non-coding RNA is filed under the name Mytilus galloprovincialis (Mediterranean mussel). Lineage: Eukaryota; Metazoa; Mollusca; Bivalvia; Mytilida; Mytilidae. The record is from RNAcentral.
CAUUGGCCAAGUCAAUCUUUUCUCAUCACUAGGCGUUCGUCGUCCGGCGUCUUUCGUCCGUCGUCCGUCAACUUUUACAAAAAUCUUCCCUGAUGAAACUUCUGAGCCAAAAUUUAAGCAAACUUGGCCACAAUCAACAUUGGGGUAUCUAGUUUAAGAAAUAUGUCCAAUGAUCCGAACAACCAACCAAGAUAACCGCCAUCGCUAAAAAUAGAACAAAUGGGGGAAUGGGCAAAAAUUUUGAUUUUGGCUUAUAUCUCUGAAUCCAAAUCAUUUAGAGCAAAUUUGACAAGAAACAAUUGGUUUUCAUGUCUAGAUCUAUCUGUCCUGAAAUUUCAGACGAU